AUACAAAACUGUAUUGAAAAUAAUCCAGAAUAUCCAUUACAUUUGUGUACUUGAUAGUUACAAGUUAUAAUGUACAUUAUAGACCCCUGAAUCUACAAUAUGCACAUAAACUGGCAAUAUUUACUUUAAUAAUGAGAUUGCUUCUGUAGAGCAAAUGACACAAUAAAUGUUCAACUAUUUCGAAUGGGGGCUAUUUCUAUUUUAUAGUCUUCAUAUGUCUUCAUUGUUUUGAAAAUGUAGACAACUGAAAUUAAACAGUCAAUACCAUUCCUCUGCAGUAAGUACUAAUAGAUGUUACACAUGAACCCACUUAUAAAAACACACUAUGCUUUCCUUAGAAACAGGUAAAGAAAAAUAACAGCCAUAGCUUGCUAAAAAGUCAUGUAAAAUAGCUGCCUUUAUAUUGAUGACAUUUUUGCUUCUAGAGCUGUGAAUUAAUAUUUUUAAUUUGCAGAAUUUAUAAACAUACAGGAAGUGUGUGACACCCAUUAACCAAGACUCACAAACCAACAUAAUAGAAGUUUAUAUAAUUAUAGAAGCUGUGAUUUAUAACAUGUACCAAAUAACAAUUCAAGCUUAUUACAACUAUCAAAAGCUUUUUUCAUCCUAAAACAUUUAUGCUUUUGAAUAGGUGCUAGCUCUAAAAUGUUUAUGUCCAUUUUAAAUAUUCAACUGAUUAAUUAUAAACCUUCUCCCCAGCA
This 701-nucleotide long non-coding RNA is filed under the name Bos taurus (domestic cattle). Its description in RNAcentral is "long non-coding RNA NONBTAT006162". Lineage: Eukaryota; Metazoa; Chordata; Mammalia; Artiodactyla; Bovidae. The record is from RNAcentral.